RNAcentral lists this ribosomal RNA (301 nucleotides) under uncultured bacterium. RNAcentral describes it as "partial 16S ribosomal RNA". It matches the Rfam family "Bacterial small subunit ribosomal RNA", at positions 509 to 807 of the family's 1533-position model. The record is from RNAcentral.
CAGCAGCCACGGGAAUACGAAGGGUGCAAGCGUUAAUCGGAAUUACCGGGCGUAAAGCGUGCGUAGGCGGUGAGUUAAGUCUGCUGUGAAAUCCCCGGGCUCAACCUGGGAAUGGCAGUGGAUACUGGCUCGCUAGAGUGUGUCAGAGGAUGGUGGAAUUCCCGGUGUAGCGGUGAAAUGCGUAGAGAUCGGGAGGAACAUCAGUGGCGAAGGCGGCCAUCUGGGACAACACUGACGCUGAGGCACGAAAGCGUGGGGAGCAAACAGGAUUAGAUACCCCAGUAGUCCCUGUCUCUUAUAC